AAGGGAGACCUAAUUCAGGUAGGAGACGAAAAAAAAGUAGUCGCUACCAAGAAUCAAUCCCAAAAGGUCGGAGCGAGGCGAAAUUGGCUUUCAAACUAGGUUCUGGGUUCACACAAGACCUGAAUCAGGAACAAGGGCUAUUAGCUCAGGUGGUUAGAGCGCACCCCUGAUAGGGGUGAGGUCCCUGGUUCGAGUCCAGGAUGGCCCACCUGUACAGGUGGCAAAAAGAAAGAAAAGAAGCGAGGAAUCAGCACCUUAUCUUACUGACAUAGUAAGAGAGAAUGCUGGCUCUGAGUAAAGAGUCCAGAGGAACCUUGAAAACUGCAUAGAGCUAGGUGGAAAAGCUAAAAAAGAAGACCGCAA
RNAcentral lists this transfer RNA (363 nucleotides) under uncultured Microcystis sp. Its description in RNAcentral is "partial 16S-23S ribosomal RNA intergenic spacer". The stretch from base 135 to 208 matches the Rfam family "tRNA". The record is from RNAcentral. Lineage: Bacteria; Bacillati; Cyanobacteriota; Cyanophyceae; Chroococcales; Microcystaceae.